CAGCAGCCACGGGAAUACGAAGGGGGCUAGCGUUGCUCGGAAUGACUGGGCGUAAAGGGCGCGUAGGCGGUUUUGACAGUCAGAUGUGAAAUUCCUGGGCUUAACCUGGGGGCUGCAUUUGAGACGUCAAGACUAGAGUGUGAGAGAGGGUUGUGGAAUUCCCAGUGUAGAGGUGAAAUUCGUAGAUAUUCGCAAGAACACCGGUGGCGAAGGCGGCUCACUGGCCCGGAACUGACGCUGAGGCACGAAAGCGUGGGGAGCAAACAGGAUUAGAUACCCCCGUAGUCCCUGUCUCUUAUAC
RNAcentral lists this ribosomal RNA (301 nucleotides) under uncultured bacterium. Its description in RNAcentral is "partial 16S ribosomal RNA". It matches the Rfam family "Bacterial small subunit ribosomal RNA", at positions 509 to 807 of the family's 1533-position model. The record is from RNAcentral.